AGCGAACGCUGGCGGCAGGCCUAACACAUGCAAGUCGAACGAACCUUUCGGGGUUAGUGGCGGACGGGUGAGUAACACGUGGGAACGUGCCUUUAGGUUCGGAAUAACUCAGGGAAACUUGUGCUAAUACCGAAUGUGCCCUUCGGGGGAAAGAUUUAUCGCCUUUAGAGCGGCCCGCGUCUGAUUAGCUAGUUGGUUGAGGUAAUGGCUCACCAAGGCGACGAUCAGUAGCUGGUCUGAGAGGAUGAUCAGCCACAUUGGGACUGAGACACGGCCCAAACUCCUACGGGAGGCAGCAGUGGGGAAUCUUGCGCAAUGGGCGAAAGCCUGACGCAGCCAUGCCGCGUGAAUGAUGAAGGUCUUAGGAUUGUAAAAUUCUUUCACCGGGGACGAUAAUGACGGUACCCGGAGAAGAAGCCCCGGCUAAGUUCGUG
This 434-nucleotide ribosomal RNA is filed under the name uncultured bacterium. RNAcentral's name for it is "partial 16S ribosomal RNA". It matches the Rfam family "Bacterial small subunit ribosomal RNA", at positions 29 to 507 of the family's 1533-position model. The record is from RNAcentral.